CUGCAGAGCUUCUCCAGUAUUCUCUUGUUUCUGUUGGUCAAUCAAUCACUCUGUAAUCGAUAAAUCUCUGUGCAUUGAUCCACACAUCAACACAGUCCAUGCUGUGUUUCUCCAAUGCUACAUCUUCCAUGGCUAUGAGCUGAAAACCACAUGAGAAAUCAACUUUGCCCUGGAGGAGGAUUUCUGGAGAGGGCUUGUUGGAAUGAAUCCCACUGUCUCCAGUGAAGAGAUUUCGCCAGCCAAAACUGUUCCUGGUAAACAGCCGAGUAUUUAUGUGCCAGUUAUGACUUCAAAAGAAAUCAGGCCCCCACUCCUCAAGUUGCACUGUUGAAUACAUGUGUUCAUUCAGUUUCAAAAAUGUUCAAUUGUUUCGCCCCUGUCCUGAUCCCCAGAAUAAAAGCUUUUCACCGGGUUUCUUUAACGAACUGAAAAA
This is a long non-coding RNA of Stegostoma tigrinum, 433 nucleotides long. RefSeq lists it as uncharacterized. NCBI's taxonomy places the organism in Eukaryota, Metazoa, Chordata, Chondrichthyes, Orectolobiformes, Stegostomatidae. The record is from RefSeq and is a predicted model, not a curated record. The transcript has 3 exons.